This 251-nucleotide unclassified non-coding RNA is filed under the name Hevea brasiliensis (rubber tree). Lineage: Eukaryota; Viridiplantae; Streptophyta; Magnoliopsida; Malpighiales; Euphorbiaceae. The record is from RNAcentral.
UGCCAAUAAACAACCUGUACAGUACGUGCCGAGAACGGUUCUUGGUGAGCAGUCAAGUUACUUUGAAUUCACAUUUGACAGAAUUUAAAGACCAUGAGUUGAUCAAAACCAAAAGAAAUUCUGAUGGUCAAGAUUGCCUUUGUAUUCCUCUCACAAAUGAAGCCCUUCAGAAACUUAUAGCAGAUAUCGUUUAAUAGAGCUUCCAAUACAAGAAGAGAAAUCACUCAGCAGCAAAUUUGAAGCAGCAGAGG